Molecule: ribosomal RNA, 357 nt
Filed under: Staphylococcus pseudintermedius
Lineage: Bacteria; Bacillati; Bacillota; Bacilli; Caryophanales; Staphylococcaceae
Description: partial 23S ribosomal RNA
Rfam family: Bacterial large subunit ribosomal RNA
Source: RNAcentral
CCGUGGAGCUUUACUGUAGCCUGAUAUUGAAAUUCGGUACAGUUUGUACAGGAUAGGUAGGAGCCUUAGAAGCGUGAGCGCUAGCUUACGUGGAGGCAUUGGUGGGAUACUACCCUAAUUGUAUUGGAUUUCUAACCCGCAGCACUUAUCGUGCUGGGAGACAGUGUCAGGCGGGCAGUUUGACUGGGGCGGUCGCCUCCUAAAGAGUAACGGAGGCGCUCAAAGGUUCCCUCAGAAUGGUUGGAAAUCAUUCAUAGAGUGUAAAGGCAUAAGGGAGCUUGACUGCGAGACCUACAAGUCGAGCAGGGUCGAAAGACGGACUUAGUGAUCCGGUGGUUCCGCAUGGAAGGGCCAUCG